GAUCGAUUAGCUCAGUUGGUUAGAGCGCCACAUUGACAUUGUGGAGGCCGUAGGUUCGAGUCCUACAUCGAUCA
Molecule: transfer RNA, 74 nt
Filed under: Candidatus Woesebacteria bacterium
Lineage: Bacteria; Candidatus Woeseibacteriota
Description: tRNA-Val
Rfam family: tRNA
About the family: Transfer RNA (tRNA) molecules are approximately 80 nucleotides in length. Their secondary structure includes four short double-helical elements and three loops (D, anti-codon, and T loops). Further hydrogen bonds mediate the characteristic L-shaped molecular structure. tRNAs have two regions of fundamental functional importance: the anti-codon, which is responsible for specific mRNA codon recognition, and the 3' end, to which the tRNAs corresponding amino acid is attached (by aminoacyl-tRNA synthetases). tRNAs cope with the degeneracy of the genetic code in two manners: having more than one tRNA (with a specific anti-codon) for a particular amino acid; and 'wobble' base-pairing, i.e. permitting non-standard base-pairing at the 3rd anti-codon position.
Source: RNAcentral